AUUCCUACGAGUGUCCAUCACUCCUGCCAAGGCAUUUCUACUUUUCGACCUAUGGAGAAAUACAAGUUUUAAGACCCCCUGAUCACGUUUUGGUCGAAUAACUAUGGGGGAGGAAAGAAAUGCUUUAACAGUGGAGAAGCGUUCCACGGGAAAUGCAGAAGAAAGCCUAGGUGCUUAAAUUGCGGGGGAGAUCAUGGGGCGUUAAGCAGAAGGUGCACGGUGGCACAAGUAGCGCUGGCCACCAAUAAAAUAAUGGCAUACAAGAACAAAAGUUUCGAAGAGGCCAGGAAGAUGGUGAGGAUGGAAGUAGGGUUGGAGGUAAAAGGGAGUAGAUAUGGGGAGGAUGAGGAGGACGAAGAGGUUCAGGAAGAGAGCUGGUUAGAGAAAGAAUUCCCAAAGAUAAAGAGGAGGAGUAAGAUAAUAAUAGAGAAAUCCCGAACAUGAAAAAUGUCUGGACCGAAAGAGAGGAGAGGAGGAAAACAGAGAAGGGGGA
Molecule: long non-coding RNA, 493 nt
Organism: Colletes gigas
Lineage: Eukaryota; Metazoa; Arthropoda; Insecta; Hymenoptera; Colletidae
Exons: 3
Source: RefSeq, a predicted model, not a curated record